UAUCAUCAUCAUCGUUUAACGUCCGCUUUCCAUGCUAGCAUGGGUUGGACGGUUCAACUGGGUGGUUGCUAGGCAGAAGACUGCACCAGCCUUCACUCUGUUUUAGCAGGGUUUUUAAGGCUGGAUGCCCUUCCUAACACCAAC
Octopus sinensis (East Asian common octopus) is the source of this 144-nucleotide long non-coding RNA. RefSeq lists it as uncharacterized. Lineage: Eukaryota; Metazoa; Mollusca; Cephalopoda; Octopoda; Octopodidae. The transcript is spliced from 3 exons. The record is from RefSeq and is a predicted model, not a curated record.